Molecule: ribosomal RNA, 468 nt
Filed under: uncultured bacterium
Lineage: Bacteria
Description: partial 16S ribosomal RNA
Rfam family: Bacterial small subunit ribosomal RNA
Source: RNAcentral
GACGAACGCUGGCGGCGUGCUUAACACAUGCAAGUCGAACGGAAAGGCCCUGCUUUUGUGGGGUGCUCGAGUGGCGAACGGGUGAGUAACACGUGAGUAACCUGCCCUUGACUUUGGGAUAACUUCAGGAAACUGGGGCUAAUACCGGAUAGGAGCUCCUGCUGCAUGGUGGGGGUUGGAAAGUUCCGGCGGUUGGGGAUGGACUCGCGGCUUAUCAGCUUGUUGGUGGGGUAGUGGCUUACCAAGGGUUUGACGGGUAGCCGGCCUGAGAGGGUGACCGGCGACAUGAGGACUGAGGGACGGCCCAGACGCGUACGGGAGGCAGCAGUGGGGAAUAUUGCACAGUGGGCGGAAGCGUGAUGCAGCAACGCCGGGUGCGGGAUGACGGGUUUCGGGGUGUAAACCGCUGUGGCCUGUGACGAAGCGUGAGUGACGGUAAUGGGUAAAGAAGCACCGGCUAACUACGUG